This 1077-nucleotide long non-coding RNA is filed under the name Homo sapiens (human). RNAcentral's name for it is "HSALNT0146404". The record is from RNAcentral. Lineage: Eukaryota; Metazoa; Chordata; Mammalia; Primates; Hominidae.
CUUUAUUUGGAUCCUGAUUCAGACAAACCAACUGAAAACAAAACAGCAAUUUAUGACAUUUGAGACUAUGGAAAUUGGAACAUUUACUAGAUAUUUGAUGAUGUAAAGAAACUGUUUAGUAUUGUGGUUAUGUGUCCUAAAAGUCCCCAUUUUCUAGAUACCAACUGAAAUAUUAUGUAAAAGAACCUUGAUGACUCAAAGGUUCAAUAAUAAUUGCUAAGCUUUGGGCCGUUCUUCCCAUCUGUGAAUAUGCUAAGCCACCAUCAGCCUUCUUUCCUAGUCUCUCAUGUUAUAGCUAGAGUUCAGACAAUACAAAGCGGAACCGUCGGAAUCAGCUAUUUUGCUAAUCAAAGUGGUAGAAAUAAACCAGUUCAAGUAGCUGAAACUGGAAGACAUUUCCCACUCUUCAUGCAGAAAUGCGGCCAAUACGAGGGGAUAUAGUAUGAAUGAUGCAAUUUAAUGAUUCAUUUUCAAUUUAAGAAGAUCCUAUUUAAAUGCAAUGCUUCAAAAUAAAAAUGAUUCCAACGUUUAGCUCUAAGAGACAUAGUUCCAGGUAUUUCCCACAACCUGAUUUGGAAUUUAGUUACAUUCAGGAAAAGCACUGAAACUAGCUGGCCAUAUAUCCAAGAGUGAGGGCCUGCCUAUAUAGCAAACAUCACCAGCUCUGGACACAAGACUGCCUAAGUUUAUGGCACAGAUCCACCUUUUGAUUGUUGUAUGACCUCUGGUCAAGUUAUUUAACCUUUUUGUGCCACUGAUAUUCACCCAUAAGACAGGGAUAGCAUUUGUUGUUGGUAGAAUUCAAUGAAUACAAAUAAUACAUACAAAUGACUAGUACAAAGUAAGUAUUCAACGAAUGAUAUUUAUAUGGCUGUGAACUUAGGGAUGCAAGGACUGACUGGAUCACAUUAAAACUUUUCUCUGAUGAAAACAAUGUAGUUUUUUGGGGGUGUGUGGUGGUCAACAGGGUCUUGCUCUGUCACCCAGGCUAAAGUGCAGUGCUGUGACCAUGGCUCACUACAGCCUCAAUUUCCUGGGCUCAAGCAAUCCUCCCACAUCAGCCUCCCAAGUAGCUGG